Dendronephthya gigantea is the source of this 790-nucleotide long non-coding RNA. RefSeq lists it as uncharacterized. The transcript has 3 exons. Lineage: Eukaryota; Metazoa; Cnidaria; Anthozoa; Malacalcyonacea; Nephtheidae. The record is from RefSeq and is a predicted model, not a curated record.
AAACCAGGUCACAAACUGUCAUAUGGUUGAUGACUUGUCUUGUAUAACGAUAUACGUUGAACUUUUACAGUAUUUAUCUGAAAAAAAAGCACACAAUGCGUAAAUGAAACGGGUUAUGUGGACUGCGACCAGAAAUAAAGAAGACAAGCAGACAAUAUGUGGAAUAUACAAACAACAAAUUGAGAUAUUUCGAUCAUAAAUUCUUUAGUUGUAAUCAUGCUUCUUGCCCAUUUUACUCGCUUGGUGUUUGACAUUUGGUUCCAUGUGAUCUUGUGUCAUCUUAUGUCAGCUCUCUGCUCAUUAAAAUAUGUCAAGAUUGUUUUGGAAAAAAUCUUGAGCCUCAUUUGCAUCCAUUCGAACAUUGAAUAGAGGCCAAGGAGCCACGACCCUUACAACCCUGAAAAUACAAGGAUCAGCCACAAUAUUAGAAAGACAAUGAAAGUAUGACCUGAAGUUGGAACAAAAAGAGGUACCAGAUUUUUGCUUCUCUUCUGAUAGGUCACUAGGCAAUGUCAAAAAUAUUGUGUCCACUAUUGCAAAGUUGCAUCUUUAUUCUUUGUGCUUGCAAUAGAUAUCUUCACUUGUUUUACUUUCAGUUGUUUAUUAUUUAAAAGUUUCAUUAUAAUUUUUCAUGUGCCAUGUUUUCUGGUGUGCAGUGUUGUAUUGUAAUGUACUGUAGUGUGCUGUUUUGUAUUUAUACCACUUUUUAUGGCUAUUUUGUUGUGAUGUUGUGAAUUCCAACUCUCUCAAAUUAGCUUGUAAAUUGUUGCAAUUUUAUUAUUUGGGCGCG